Molecule: long non-coding RNA, 256 nt
Filed under: Solanum tuberosum (potato)
Lineage: Eukaryota; Viridiplantae; Streptophyta; Magnoliopsida; Solanales; Solanaceae
Description: long non-coding RNA (STUB_LNC011162)
Source: RNAcentral
UCCAUCAUUUACUCCCGUAUAACAUUACUGGUCUUAAAAAAAAUUCUAUAGAAAUUGCCUUCCAUUUUGGUAGUUAUCCUCAUAUGGCAUAACACUCCAGUAGUACUCACUUAGCGAAGAAACAAACAAUCUAGUAGCACUUCUCCAUUUCAACUGUCCUAUUUUAAUUUUCUGUGCCACAGUUUAUGGAUUGUACCAUUCUCUUGGAACAUCAAAUCUAGACAUCAGAAGUUUUUGCAUUUGGCACUAUAAUCUC